RNAcentral lists this ribosomal RNA (404 nucleotides) under uncultured bacterium. Its description in RNAcentral is "partial 16S ribosomal RNA". It matches the Rfam family "Bacterial small subunit ribosomal RNA", at positions 28 to 526 of the family's 1533-position model. The record is from RNAcentral.
GACGAACGCUGGCGGCGUGCUUAACACAUGCAAGUCGAGCGGAGCGGCGAACGGGUGAGUAACGCGUGAGUAACUGCCCCCCUCUCUGGGAUAACAGUUGGACACGGCUGCUAAUAACGGAUAGUGGGGGAUGACUCGCGUCCUAUCAGCUUGGUGGUGGGGUAGUGGCCUACCAAGGAGACGACGGGUAGCCGGCCUGAGAGGGGGACCGGCCACAGUGGUCUGAGAUACGGACCAAAAUCCUACGGGAGGCAGCAGGGGGGAAUAUUGCACAAUGGGGGAAACCCUGAUGCAGCAACGCGCGGGCGGGAUGACGGCCUGCGGGUUGUAAAGCGCUUUCAGCCAUGACGCGGUAGUGGCAGAAGAAGCACCGGCUAACUACGUGCCAGCCGCCGCGGUAAUUC